Molecule: small RNA, 509 nt
Filed under: Pongo abelii (Sumatran orangutan)
Lineage: Eukaryota; Metazoa; Chordata; Mammalia; Primates; Hominidae
Description: processed transcript
Source: RNAcentral
GUAUUCUCCACUGGUUGAAUGCAAAUGGAAGCCAGAGGAAAAGGGAACCCUUGACACAGUUUUCAUAUAGACUGGCCUCCAGGGCAGACAGCAGGAGGGGGGUUUAAUCUGGACUGAAUUGGAGGAAAGGAACUGGCACCAGAGUGGAGGCUGGAAGGAUGGUGGAACUGACACUGGGACAGAACACAGAAAACAGAAUAUAAUGCUAUUGCUCUGGCUGUAUCAAAUAAAAGUGUCAAGAGUGAGCAUCCUUGCAUUGUGCUGAAUCACAGAGGAAUACCUUUCAAUUUUUCUCCAUUGACUAUGAUAGCAGUGGGCUUUUCACAUGUGGGCUUUACUGUGUUGAGGUUUAGGUGCAGUCAUCUUGGAUUUGAGUCGUGCUUGUGAAUUUUCAUGUGUUACAACAACCAGAUUAAAUUUCUUCAAGUGGAAAUAUUAAGUCAAAGAAAUUACCUAUUUCUAAUAAUUCUUAUUGAAGAAGUGAAACCUAGCAGGAAGAAUUGUAUUUG